Molecule: long non-coding RNA, 231 nt
Organism: Mya arenaria
Lineage: Eukaryota; Metazoa; Mollusca; Bivalvia; Myida; Myidae
Exons: 3
Source: RefSeq, a predicted model, not a curated record
AAAAAUGUUAAAUUUAGAUGGAGACAAUCCAGAAAUGCUGCCAGGAAGUGAUCGAUUUCGGACACGAAGAUAUAGGCGAGUGUGCGGUCAAGGUCAAAAUUGCGAGAGGGUGAUUCGAAGUGAAAUACCGCAACAAAAACGUUCGAUUUGGACAUUAACGUGUCUAACUGAAUGAGUCAUAAUGUUUCUACCACAAGAGUUGUAAAUAUUGAACACAAAGGGCUUCAUCUU